CCUACGGGGGGCUGCAGUGGGGAAUAUUGGACAAUGGGCGAAAGCCUGAUCCAGCCAUGCCGCGUGUGUGAAGAAGGCCUUCGGGUUGUAAAGCACUUUCAGUGGGGAAGAAAGCCUUGGGGCUAAUACCCUCGAGGAAGGACAUCACCCACAGAAGAAGCACCGGCUAACUCCGUGCCAGCAGCCGCGGUAAUACGGAGGGUGCGAGCGUUAAUCGGAAUUACUGGGCGUAAAGCGCGCGUAGGCGGUCUGAUAAGCCGGUUGUGAAAGCCCCGGGCUCAACCUGGGAACGGCAUCCGGAACUGUCAGGCUAGAGUGCAGGAGAGGAAGGUAGAAUUCCCGGUGUAGCGGUGAAAUGCGUAGAGAUCGGGAGGAAUACCAGUGGCGAAGGCGGCCUUCUGGACUGACACUGACGCUGAUGUGCGAAAGCGUGGGUAGCAAACAGGAUUAGAUACCCUAGUAGUC
Molecule: ribosomal RNA, 465 nt
Filed under: Vreelandella stevensii
Lineage: Bacteria; Pseudomonadati; Pseudomonadota; Gammaproteobacteria; Oceanospirillales; Halomonadaceae
Description: partial 16S ribosomal RNA
Rfam family: Bacterial small subunit ribosomal RNA
Source: RNAcentral